This 253-nucleotide ribosomal RNA is filed under the name uncultured bacterium. RNAcentral's name for it is "partial 16S ribosomal RNA". It matches the Rfam family "Bacterial small subunit ribosomal RNA", at positions 524 to 776 of the family's 1533-position model. The record is from RNAcentral.
UACGGAGGGGGCAAGCGUUGUUCGGAAUUACUGGGCGUAAAGGGCUCGUAGGCGGCCAACUAAGUCAGACGUGAAAUCCCUCGGCUUAACCGGGGAACUGCGUCUGAUACUGGAUGGCUUGAAUCCGGGAGAGGGAUGCGGAAUUCCAGGUGUAGCGGUGAAAUGCGUAGAUAUCUGGAGGAACACCGGUGGCGAAGGCGGCAUCCUGGACCGGCAUUGACGCUGAGGAGCGAAAGCCAGGGGAGCGAACGGG